ACUCGAAAAUAUGUGGAAACUAAUUACUUUAUUGGUUGUUUUCGCAGCCGCGGCCGUGAAGUGUCAACACACAACACCAGCACCGAUCUUCUGUAACAACGAUGACGACUGUCGCAGACACUGUGACGAGACCCAUCAAGGCACGUGCGACACGGCGAACGAUCACACUUGUGAAUGCGUGAGAGAUCACGGAGAAGUGAUAUACUGUAACGAUGACCACGACUGCGCAAUCCACUGCGCCCGCCAUAUUGGCCGAUGCCGCGAUAACAACCAAUGUCGAUGUCUUGCCGGCUCGCACUGGUGGGGGCCCUGAUACCAGGCAGACCGGUCCCAUUAAGGAGAAAGUUUAUUAUAUUUGUUGACAAUGUACGUACGUAAGUGACAAUAAAUUGUUUCAGCAUAAACGGAA
Long non-coding RNA from Liolophura sinensis, 409 nucleotides. RefSeq lists it as uncharacterized. The transcript has 3 exons. NCBI's taxonomy places the organism in Eukaryota, Metazoa, Mollusca, Polyplacophora, Chitonida, Chitonidae. The record is from RefSeq and is a predicted model, not a curated record.